AUUCAACGGAGAGUGGCGAUGAGACCAGUGCUUUCACCCCAGUGCCUCUGACAACCAAGUGAGAGAGACUGCUACUGAACACACCUUUUAUUAUGAAAUUACUUCUGAGCAUUGUGGAGAUCACAUAGAUUCCUAGAAGUUACAAGAUGCAAUUUCAUUCAGGCUGGAAACACAGCUACCUGAUACUGGCACUGGAGAAGAGGCCCUUCUCGGUGUGCUUCAGACUUGACUCAGCAACUGGCGUGCGCUGCCCACCUGCUGGCACAGUAAUAUACUCAUGGAAAAGAAGAUUCCAGGCUCACUCCCUCUCUCAGAGCAGCUCCUGAGAAGAUUGGAUUGUGUGUAGUCAGGUGCAUAUAGGACUAAUGCCCUGCCUAUUCUUCACAUAUCCUAAGAUAUUGUACUUUAGUUCUUUCAAAGGAAUUUGUGUAUCUAGGAAGUUUAAAAUGUACUUGGUAAGAUAGUGCCUGUUUUCUAGUAAUGAGCUUGGUUAAUGCAAUUGUCUGAUGACACAUUUAGGCUUUCUAAUUGAGUUUUUGUACUGAUGUGUCUUGAAGAGGGUUUACUUGGUGUGUGUAUAUUUUGGACUCUAAUUUUAGUGAAUUACAUGGUAAGGAGGAACAGAAGAACUGGUACCUGCUGGCAAAUUCUUAAGGAGGGGAGCUACUCAGUGAUAGAACCAACCAGAUCACCUCUGAAUGCAUGAUUCUGAACAUCUAGAUGCCUGUUGUUUUGUUGUGUUUAUUUUAAUUUAAUACAACUUUUUGUGGGUUCGUUAAAAGUCUUCUCAAAAGUAACACUGAGAAAGCCACUACAACAUACAUAAAAAAAAAAGUGUGCUUUAGGCCAAAAUAAAAUUGUUACUUGGACUUGUAAAAUAAAAGCU
This 886-nucleotide long non-coding RNA is filed under the name Ursus maritimus (polar bear). RNAcentral describes it as "lncRNA (ENSUMAG00000024437.1)". Lineage: Eukaryota; Metazoa; Chordata; Mammalia; Carnivora; Ursidae. The record is from RNAcentral.